Molecule: long non-coding RNA, 355 nt
Filed under: Elaeis guineensis (African oil palm)
Lineage: Eukaryota; Viridiplantae; Streptophyta; Magnoliopsida; Arecales; Arecaceae
Description: long non-coding RNA (EGUI_LNC024097)
Source: RNAcentral
CCACAUGGUCUAUGUCGGAGCUUAUAGGGCAUUCGGGCACAGUCUUGGCCCGCGAGUGUGGUGCGCAAGACCAGGUUUGAACACUAGUUCAGGUAAGGUUCAAGUGCGAUAACGAAUGCGGGUGCGGUCAUGCAGGCGAGUGAGUGCGGGUAUGUUUGAUAUGCAUAGGAGCUUCAUGCAGGUCACAACUUAAGUGACCUAAAACACAGUCGAGUUUUCUAUGGCUAGAUUUGGGUCAUCAUAGUUAAAAUAGGAAAGAGUGGAAGAUGAGAGGAGUUGGGAGAUUGGAUACAACCAGAAGUCUAGGAGGCUUUGAAGGCUAUAAUAAGGGAUGUGGGGGUGGCUUAAGGGAGAG